UAUACCGCACUGUACACAUAGCUUGUGUCAGUCGCUAUCGGAACAACCACGAGGUGAGUCGGGGACCUUGGCUAAUUUUCCACGUUUUGCUUCGUCAUCCCCUGGGAUACUUAUUGUAUAACGUGUGCUAUAUUUGUCCUGGCGACAUUUAAAACUGAAGAAAACCAAGGACCACGUGUUGAUGCAUAAAAGUUUAGUGUCUAAAAGUCGUGUUUUCUUCGAAGCCACCCCAUGUGAAAUCUCCAGGCACCCUAAAUUAUAAAUACGGGAGGAUUCCACGUAAUAUAAAUUGUUUUAGUUUAUCUAAAUUUAUCAAUUUGAAUAUGUAAUAAGUUAGUAAUAAUUUUAGACGACGACGACAAAUAUAUAUCUGUUAAACUGGAGGAUUUAAAAAAGAAUUUCUAGAAGCGAUGCCAUAAUGCUGUGUUCUUGUAAUUUAUUCAAGCUACGAAUUGAAGUCAUUGACGAUGGAACAAAGGAGGUGCCCAGAAUGUUAUAGUUUUCUCACGACAUAUGAGUGAUCAAAGAGAAUCUGAUGUGAAAGAAGUGAAACCAAAGUCAUGAACGAUGGAACAAAGGAGGUCCCCAGAAUGUUUUAGUUUUCUCAUGACAUUUGAGUGAUCAAAGAGAAUCUGGUGUGAACCCAAAGUUAUUGACAAUGGAACAAAGGAGGUGCCCAGAAUGUUAUAGUUUUCUCACGACAUAUGAGUGAUCAAAGGGAAUCUGAUGUGAAAGAAGUGAAACCAAAGUCAUGAACGAUGGAACAAAGGAGGUCCCCAGACUGUUUUAGUUUUCUCAUGACAUUUGAGUGAUCGAAGAGAAUCUGGUGUGAAAGAAGUGAAACCAAAGGUAUUAUGACAAAAUGCUCUAAAAUAUAAAGGGUUCAAUACGGAUUUUCUACAACCACUGUCACAAGAAGAUUAAGGAUGAAGUCCAUUCUAUACAUUGCUUCAAAGAAAUAUCAAGUACAGCCAAUGUAAAGAAGAAUAUAUUAGGCUUUAUUUACAUAAAAUUGGUGCAGUGGUAGUGUAUUUAAACUGCGGUGGUAGCGGUAAUUUCUAAAUGAAGUUUUCGCAAUAGGCAGUAUGGUAUCAUUAUAGUAUUAACAAAUCACGUUAUUAAUGUUUCUGCACUACACACACAAAUACACUUCAACUGCACCAACGUUUAUGUGAAUGAGCUACUAGUAUCUGUUUACCAGAUAUUGAAAAUUAAUCAUUUAAAUUCAAAAAUUAAAAUAAUAAGUAGUCAUGUAUGUUACUUAAAAUAGGUAAUAUUUUAAGCAACAUGUAUAAAUUGCCAUUUAUGUUAUGUAAA
This is a long non-coding RNA of Aethina tumida (small hive beetle), 1317 nucleotides long. RefSeq lists it as uncharacterized. Lineage: Eukaryota; Metazoa; Arthropoda; Insecta; Coleoptera; Nitidulidae. The record is from RefSeq and is a predicted model, not a curated record. The transcript is spliced from 7 exons.